RNAcentral lists this ribosomal RNA (454 nucleotides) under uncultured Petrimonas sp. Its description in RNAcentral is "partial 16S ribosomal RNA". It matches the Rfam family "Bacterial small subunit ribosomal RNA", at positions 341 to 792 of the family's 1533-position model. Lineage: Bacteria; Pseudomonadati; Bacteroidota; Bacteroidia; Bacteroidales; Dysgonomonadaceae. The record is from RNAcentral.
ACGGGAGGCAGCAGUGAGGAAUAUUGGUCAAUGGAGGCAACUCUGAACCAGCCAAGUCGCGUGAAGGAAGAAGGCCCUACGGGUCGUAAACUUCUUUUGCAGGGGGAUAAAGUCGGCCACGCGUGGCCGUUUGCAGGUACCCUGUGAAUAAGCAUCGGCUAACUCCGUGCCAGCAGCCGCGGUAAUACGGAGGAUGCGAGCGUUAUCCGGAUUUAUUAGGUUUAAAGGGUGCGCAGGCGGGACAUUAAGUCGGUGGUGAAAUACCGUGGCCCAACCACGGGGCUGCCAUCGAUACUGAUGACCUUGAGUGCGUGUGACGUAGGCGGAAUGUGGAGUGUAGCGGUGAAAUGCUUAGAUAUUCCACAGAACACCGAUUGCGAAGGCAGCCUACGAAUGCGUAACUGACGCUCAUGCACGAAAGCGCGGGUAGCGAACAGGAUUAGAUACCCUGGUA